Molecule: ribosomal RNA, 814 nt
Filed under: uncultured bacterium
Lineage: Bacteria
Description: bacterial SSU rRNA
Rfam family: Bacterial small subunit ribosomal RNA
Source: RNAcentral
GUAAGGACGCGUAGGCGGGAAGCCAAGUCUGAUGUGAAAUCCUAUGGCUUAACCAUAGAACUGCAUUGGAAACUGGUUACCUAGAGUAUGGGAGGGGGAGAUGGAAUUAGUGGUGUAGGGGUAAAAUCCGUAGAUAUCACUAGGAAUACCGAAAGCGAAGGCGAUCUCCUGGAACAAUACUGACGCUAAGGCGUGAAAGCGUGGGGAGCAAACGGGAUUAGAUACCCCGGUAGUCCACGCCCUAAACGAUGUUCACUAGUCGUCGGAAUGCUAGUCAUUUCGGUGAUGCACUUAACAGAUUAAGUGAACCGCCUGGGGAGUACGGUCGCAAGAUUAAAACUCAAAGGAAUAGACGGGGACCCGCACAAGUGGUGGAGCAUGUGGUUUAAUUCGAAGAUACGCGAAGAACCUUACCUAGCCUUGACAUUGAAGAAACACUUUAGAGAUAGAGUGGUGCCCUUCGGGGAAUCUGAAAACAGGUGCUGCACGGCUGUCGUCAGCUCGUGUCGUGAGAUGUUGGGUUAAGUCCCGCAACGAGCGCAACCCUCGUCCUUAGUUGCCAGCAGGUUAAGCUGGGCACUUUAAGGAGACUGCCUUCGCAAGGAGGAGGAAGGUGAGGACGACGUCAAGUCAUCAUGGCCCUUAUGGCUAGGGCUACACACGUGCUACAAUGGGGCGUACGGAGAGUUGCGAUACCGCGAGGUGGAGCCAAUCUCAUAAAGCGUCUCUCAGUUCGGAUUGGAGUCUGCAACUCGACUCCAUGAAGCUGGAAUCACUAGUAAUCGUAGAUCAGCAAUGCUACGGUGAAUACGUU